AUGAGAAAGAAUUUAAUCUCUGUUUCUAGACUGGAAUCUAUAGGUUUUAAGGUCUUAUUUGGAGAUGGCAAAGUUAAAAUACUGAUGAAUGGAAAUUUAGUUCAAUCAGGAAAUAGAUUUGAUGGUCUCUACUAUAUUGAGGAUUUUAUGGACAUCGAUAGGAUGGACUGUAUGGUCAAUGAACAGAACUCGGUAGUGAGGAAUAUAGAUGGAAGCAAUAAUUGUUCAGAAUCAUAUCUCUGGCAUCUUCGUUUGGGUCAUAUCUCAAAGAACAGAAUUAAAAGGCUAAUUAGUUCUGGAAUUUUAAACUUCAAGUGGGAAGACUACGGCAUUUGUGAGGCAUGUGUUGUAGGAAAAAUGACCAGGGUGCCUUUUCCUAAAGCGUCAAGGUCUACUGAACCACUUGCUAUUGUUCAUUCAGAUAUUUGUGGUGAGAUGUCUGUACCUACAUUUGGGCAGAAGGUCUAUUUCAUUACUUUUAUAGAUGAUUUCUCUAGAUACGGCUAUGUUUACUUAAUUAAGCAUAAGUCGAAAGGUUUUGACAUGUUCAAGUUAUUUAAAGCCGAGGUAGAAAAUCAGUUGAACAAAAAGAUCAAGGUGCUUAGAACUGAUCGUGGUGGUGAAUACACAUCAGGAAUAUUAGAUGAUUUUUGCAAGGAAAAUGGAAUUAUUCACCAUUAUACCUUACCAUAUACUCCUGAACAAAAUGGCGUAGCUGAAAGGAGGAAUAGAACUUUAAUGGACAUGGUUAGGUCUAUGAUGGCAUAUUCAGAUCUUCCUUUAUCAUUUUGGGGAGAGGCUCUUCAUACUGCUGUUUACUUGCUUAAUCAUUCACCUUCUAAAUAUGUUAGUUCUACUCCUUAUGAAUUAUGGAAAGGGAGGAAACCUACAUUGUUGAACUUAGCAGUGUGGGGAUGCAAUGCACAGAUUAGAGUACCUAGUCAACUAAGAACAAAACUGGAACCUAAGAGUUUUCCAGGAAUAUUUAUUGGAUAUGCUUCUGGUUCAAAUGGAUAUAGAUUUUAUGAUCCAGAGAGGAAGAAGUUAAUUGAAAGUAGAGAUGCCAUUUUUCUAGAUCAAGAUACACCUCGCCGUGCAAAACGUGCGAGAGUGGAAUUAUUGACAAACCCGUUAGAUACAAGUGUUGAAACUGAUUCUAACAAUUAG
RNAcentral lists this ribosomal RNA (1167 nucleotides) under Triticum aestivum (bread wheat). RNAcentral describes it as "partial small subunit ribosomal RNA". The record is from RNAcentral. Lineage: Eukaryota; Viridiplantae; Streptophyta; Magnoliopsida; Poales; Poaceae.